CCUGAUGAAUCCAUGAUGUUCAUUAAUUUUGAUGUUGUGGGGAGUCAGGACUGUUACUUCUGAAAAAAUUAGAGUUGUUUAAAGCAAGCACGCGCUUGAAUACAUUAGCAUGGAAUAAUGAAAUAGGACGUUCGAUUCUAUUUUGUUGGUUUCUAGGAUCAACGUAAUGAUUAAUAGGGAUAGUUGGGGGCAUUAGUAUUCAAUUGUCAGAGGUGAAAUUCUUGGAUUUAUUGAAGACUAACUACUGCGAAAGCAUUUGCCAAGGAUGUUUUCAUUAAUCAAGAACGAAAGUUAGGGGAUCGAAGACGAUCUGAUACCGUCGUAGUCUUAACCAUAAACUAUGCCGACUAGGGAUCGGAUGAUGUUAAUUUUUUAAUGACU
RNAcentral lists this ribosomal RNA (381 nucleotides) under uncultured Glomeromycotina. Its description in RNAcentral is "SSU rRNA". It matches the Rfam family "Eukaryotic small subunit ribosomal RNA", at positions 698 to 1076 of the family's 1831-position model. The record is from RNAcentral. Lineage: Eukaryota; Fungi; Glomeromycota.